RNAcentral lists this long non-coding RNA (251 nucleotides) under Elaeis guineensis (African oil palm). RNAcentral describes it as "long non-coding RNA (EGUI_LNC056309)". The record is from RNAcentral. Lineage: Eukaryota; Viridiplantae; Streptophyta; Magnoliopsida; Arecales; Arecaceae.
AUGGGACAUCCCUUGGGUAUGUUUUGAGGUGUGAAAUAAUAGGGACAAGGGCUCCAAUUGUUGGCACCUAAAGACUUGUAUUAGAAAACUUAAUGCAAGUAAGACUUGUAUUAUGAGAUUGAAUAGGAUUCAAUCCUCAUGUCUAUUUAAAGAGACCUCCCCUAAGGUCCCUAGUGCAUCCAACCAGCACCCCACAUGCCACAAAGGAGACCCUCCAUAUCCUUUCUUCCUCUCCUUUCUCCCCUCCCCUU